CUACGGGUUGCACCAGUCGAGAAUCUUCCGCAAUGCGCGAAAGCGUGACGGAGCAAUGCCGCGUGGUCGAUGAAGGCCUUAGGGUUGUAAAGACCUGUCACAUGGGACGAAUUUUUGACGGUACCAUGAGAGGAAGCCACGGCUAACUACGUUCCAGCAGCCGCGGUAAUACGUAGGUGGCGAGCGUUGUUCGGAUUUAUUGGGCGUAAAGGGUCCGCAGGGGGUUUGCUAAGUCUGAUGUGAAAUCCCAAGGCUCAACCUUGGAACUGCAUUGGAAACUGGUGAACUAGAGUAUCGGAGAGGUAAAUGGAAUUCCUGGUGUAGCGGUGGAAUGCGUAGAUAUCAGGAAGAACACCGAGAGCGAAGGCAAUUUACUGGACGAUCACUGACCCUCAGGGACGAAAGCGUAGGUAGCGAACAGGAUUAGAUACCCCGGUAGUC
Molecule: ribosomal RNA, 441 nt
Filed under: uncultured bacterium
Lineage: Bacteria
Description: partial 16S ribosomal RNA
Rfam family: Bacterial small subunit ribosomal RNA
Source: RNAcentral